GCGUACACGUAACGAAAUAAUCUUUCUCUUGAAAAUUUCCAUUCGUAUGACGUCGUGUUUUGCCAUGACGUAAAUUCGCCAAAUCCUUCAUGAAAUUUCGCGGAAUUUUAUUAAAUUUAAUUUUUGUACAUUUUCGAAGCUUUAGUGCAAUAAAUUUAUUUUUUUUUUUUUUGUUAUAUAUGCACUAGAAUAGUCACAACUGUUAUGCAAUUGUUUUUUAAUCUCAAUUUGCUGAAAAUCCCGGGAUCACUGCAAGCUUGUGUAUCGCGCAUGAAUAGAUUACAAAAGUAGUUUCGGAAACAUGAUUUAUCGAAGUGUAAACUUAAAGAAAAAUUCUAAUUGACCAAUCC
RNAcentral lists this long non-coding RNA (350 nucleotides) under Mytilus galloprovincialis (Mediterranean mussel). The record is from RNAcentral. Lineage: Eukaryota; Metazoa; Mollusca; Bivalvia; Mytilida; Mytilidae.